UCCCUCAGCCCUGUCUGAUCCAGAUCUGAACCAGAAGCUGCGUCAGGCUGCUCAGCAGUAUGAAAGGACGCUCUACAUCCCCAAUGGUGCAUUAUGGGGAGGCAAGACAUCCAGAGAAUGAAUGAUAGUGGGAAACUGAAGCAGGCAGUGUGAUGCUCCUUCAUUCAUGUGGAUGUUCCUCUAACACCUAAACAUCGCUGCAGACCACAUCCACCUCGUCAUGGCAACAGUAUCCCCUGAUGGCCUCUUCUAGCAGGAUGAUGCUCCCCGUCACACUGCAAACGUUGUUCAGGUGUAGUUGGAGAAACAAGACAAAUAAGUUGAGGUGUGGCCUCCAGAGUCCCGCAUCUGUAGUGAUAGAGCAUCUGAAGGAUGAUCUGGAAAAACAAGUUCAGUCCUCCAGGAUCUACUUCUAACAUCUUGGUGGCACAAGACACCUUCAGAGGUCUGUGAUGUUCAGAGUUCUGAACUACCAAGUGAUAUUAGCUUGUUAGCAGAUACGUUGAGCCUAAAGUCAGACUUUUCAGUGAUAGGAAGGUCUUUGGACCUGCUAGAUCUCUACGGUAACUAAUGCCAUGGAACUAGAUCUCCAUGGUAACUGAUACUGUGGAGCUGGAUCUCCAUGGUUACUGACGCUGUGGAGCUAGAUCUCCAUGGUUACUGAUGCUGUGGAGCUGGAUCUCCAUGGUUACUGAUGCUGUGGAGUUAAAUCUCCAUGGUGACUGAUGCCGUGGAGCAGAUUCUGUUCAGAGUUUCAGAUUAAAAUCAGCUGUAAGAAACGUCUCCCUUUAACCAAAUCAUGUCCUGAUGAUUCUUUAUGAGCGACACAGAUUCUCUAUCUGCAAACCUGUUGAUGUGACCGUUACUAAAACCACUGAAUGAAGUCAUGUAGUUACUGUAUCACACACUGUAUGCAUCAUGUUGCUAUGGUAACCUGACAUGUAUUCAUCUGGUGAUUGAGAAAUCGUAUAAAUAAGUUUUAAUGUUGGUCCAUUUACUGUGACUAGAACAUUGAUUAUUCUACUGCUAUUUAUUACAGCAAACAUUCAGUCAAUAACAUUAAUUUGUUUUUGCUUUGCCCACAAUUAAGUGGAUUUCAAUCCAAUAUUUUUAAAUAUAUGAAGUUUAAAGUUGGUAUAUCAGCUGUCUUUCCCAGGUCAUCUGCUGGAUUGUUGUCAUUUGUUAACUUUGUGUUGUUGUGCAAGAGGGAGGCAGAUGUCCCCACUGUUUUUUUCCCUUUUCCAUCAUUAUUCAUUGCUUGUGAUGGGCAGCUUAGCUGUGACAACUUGCUUAAGCCUCCAGAAAAUAAGAGAGCGACACCCCGAGCUAACAGCUAAUACCUCUCAGUCCGUCAGGUCCAAAUAAAGUCAAGAGUCGCUGGCACAAAGGAAUGUGACCUGGCCGAUAAAAAGCAGACUUGGCUCGGCAGAUCACACAUUUCUGAGAGUAUAAAAGGGAUGGAUGGAACAUUAUUUUUCCUUUUAAGGGCUCCGAUGGCUGACAGUGGCGCACAAAAUGGCACACUGGGGACACUGUUGUUGUCGCGGCAACCUUCCCAGAGCGGAAACCACGGUCUGUUUGGCCAAUUGGAUCGUAG
Molecule: long non-coding RNA, 1597 nt
Organism: Amphiprion ocellaris (clown anemonefish)
Lineage: Eukaryota; Metazoa; Chordata; Actinopteri; Pomacentridae
Source: Ensembl